This 577-nucleotide ribosomal RNA is filed under the name uncultured bacterium. Its description in RNAcentral is "bacterial SSU rRNA". It matches the Rfam family "Bacterial small subunit ribosomal RNA", at positions 623 to 1212 of the family's 1533-position model. The record is from RNAcentral.
CCGUUCAAUACUGCGGAGCUCGAGGGCAGAAGAGGGGGGUGGAAUUGCUGGUGUAGUGGUGAAAUGCGUAGAUAUCAGCAGGAACACCUGUGGCGAAAGCGGCCCCCUGGUCUGCUCCUGACACUCAGACGCGAAAGCUAGGGGAGUGAACGGGAUUAGAAACCCCGGUAAUCCUAGCCGUAAACGAUGGAUGCUAGGUGUGGGUGGUAUUGACCCCAUCCGUGCCGAAGCCAACGCGUUAAGCAUCCCGCCUGGGGACUACGGCCGCAAGGUUAAAACUCAAAGGAAUUGACGGGGACCCGCACAAGCAGCGGAGCGUGUGGUUUAAUUCGAUGCUACACGAAGAACCUUACCCAGGUUUGACAUGCAGGUAGUAGUGAAGCGAAAGCGGAACGAUCCUUCGGGAAGCCUGCACAGGUGCUGCAUGGCUGUCGUCAGCUCGUGCCGUGAGGUGUUUGGUUAAGUCCACUAACGAGCGCAACCCCUGUCGUCAGUUACAUGUGUCUGGCGAGACUGCCGGUCUUAAACCGGAGGAAGGUGGGGAUGACGUCAAGUCAGCACGGCCUUUAUAUCUGGG